This 76-nucleotide transfer RNA is filed under the name Escherichia coli. Its description in RNAcentral is "tRNA-Met". It matches the Rfam family "tRNA". Rfam says of the family: Transfer RNA (tRNA) molecules are approximately 80 nucleotides in length. RNAcentral also lists the same sequence under 1 other name. Lineage: Bacteria; Pseudomonadati; Pseudomonadota; Gammaproteobacteria; Enterobacterales; Enterobacteriaceae. The record is from RNAcentral.
GGCCCUUUAGCUCAGUGGUUAGAGUAGGCGACUCAUAAUCGCUUGGUCGCUGGUUCAAGUCCAGCAAGGGCCACCA